This 653-nucleotide long non-coding RNA is filed under the name Salmo salar (Atlantic salmon). RNAcentral describes it as "lncRNA (ENSSSAG00000101564.1)". Lineage: Eukaryota; Metazoa; Chordata; Actinopteri; Salmoniformes; Salmonidae. The record is from RNAcentral.
AUCAGAACCCAGGUUGGUUGUCUUCUGGAGGUAUCAGAACCCAGGUUGGUUGUCUUCUGGAGGUAUCAGGCCUCAGGUUGGUUGUGUUCUGGGGCCAUCAGGCCUCAGGUUGGUUGUCUUCUGGAGGUAUCAGGCCUCAGGUUGGUUGUCUUCUGGAGGUAUCAGGCCUCAGGUUGGUUGUCUUCUGGAGGUACAGUAUCAGGCCUCAGGUUGUCUUCUGGAAGUAUCAGGCCUCAGGUUGGUUGUCUUCUGGAGGUAUCAGGCCUCAGGUUGGUUGUCUUCUGGAGGUAUCAGGCCUCAGCUUGGUUGUCUUCUGGAAGUAUCAGGCCUCAGGUUGGUUGUCUUCUGGAGGUACAGUAUCAGGCCUCAGGGCAAAGUGAUAUGGGAUACCUGACAGAAUGACAAAUUGAGGAAAGAUCAGAGGCUUGUCACUAAGACCACAUUAAACACACAUGGAACUCCAAAAUAUGUUUUCACAGUAACGUGUAGGCUCCUCCUGUUUUCUGUUGAAGCCAGUUGCUCAGUUUCAGGUCACAGCCAAUGUCAGUGACAGGUGAGCAACAUUUGAGCUUGUUUGAUCUACAGUGUAUUGGCAUAUGUGUUUGGGGGGUUAUAGCAAGCAGAUGAUUGAUAGUUGUCGUUGUAGUGUGUGG